Non-coding RNA from Caenorhabditis elegans, 21 nucleotides. The record is from Ensembl. Lineage: Eukaryota; Metazoa; Nematoda; Chromadorea; Rhabditida; Rhabditidae.
UUAUUAUCAACUUUCUCCAGA